Molecule: ribosomal RNA, 301 nt
Filed under: uncultured bacterium
Lineage: Bacteria
Description: partial 16S ribosomal RNA
Rfam family: Bacterial small subunit ribosomal RNA
Source: RNAcentral
CAGUAGCCGCGGGAAAACGAAGGGUACAAGCGUUACUCGGAAUUACUGGGCGUAAAGCGUGCGUAGGUGGUGGUUUAAGUCCGUUGUGAAAGCCCUGGGCUCAACCUGGGAAUUGCAGUGGAUACUGGGUCACUAGAGUGUGGUAGAGGAUAGUGGAAUUUCCGGUGUAGCAGUGAAAUGCGUAGAGAUCGGAAGGAACAUCUGUGGCGAAGGCGACUAUCUGGGCCAACACUGACACUGAGGCACGAAAGCGUGGGGAGCAAACAGGAUUAGAUACCCGAGUAGUCCCUGUCUCUUAUAC